Long non-coding RNA from Zalophus californianus (California sea lion), 314 nucleotides. RefSeq lists it as uncharacterized. The record is from RefSeq and is a predicted model, not a curated record. The transcript is spliced from 4 exons. Lineage: Eukaryota; Metazoa; Chordata; Mammalia; Carnivora; Otariidae.
CGAGAAAUAGCGUGGUGGUGGUUUCUAGCUAUUCGGUGAGCAGGGAUAGACACGAAGAGAGAUGACACACGGACAAGUAGACAGAGACAGAUACAUCUCCUUCAUGAAUGGAAGCAACGCCUUAGUCUGAGAAUGUGAAGCCAAGGGAAGAAGAUUUCUCCUCCCCAGCCCACAGAGAACACACAGGCCUUCCUCAGAAGUCUCCAGAUAAUACCGAUGGAUCCUACAGCUCUGGUAUACACUUCUAAACGCAUAUCAUCCACGUCUGAAGACUGAGACUGUGUGCCCGCUUGGACAAUGCAGAUGAAGGUUGC